GCUUUACAGAGGACAAACUGCACACCUUCUCUUUCUUCUUGUCCACGGCCUCAUUCCCUUCACAUGCCACAGAUUGCUCAGGCAUCUCCUGCUGAGUGGAGUCUUCCGUCUUCAACUUUUUGGGUGACAUUGAAUUGACCAUAUUUCUCACCCUUUGCACAUCUACAAUGGUCUGGUGUUGCAUGGUGCAGAAAUGAGCGCAGGCAUAUUCCAGCAGAGCACCAAAGAUGAAGGUGAAACAGAUGCCGAGAUAGACGUCAAUAGCCUUAAUGAAGCAGUUGGCAUUAGGAAGUGAGGUCCUGGCUCCCAUCAUUAGUGUGGUCAUGGUGCGAGCUGGUACGGAGGACUGACUGAUCCAGAAAGACACCCAUGACAGAACCACCAGCAAUGUUGAGGGCACAUACGUCUCCAGAAUGAAGAACAGCACAUUUCUACGCAAAGCAAAGUAGAGCACUAGCUUCGGGAUACUUGGUGAGGUCCAUGUUGCAGGCGAUGGUUGCUGUUAUGCUGUGGAGAAAAGGAGGAAUAUUGAUUGAACCAUUUCUGUAGGAAGAUGGAAAGCUGCCGGAGAGGGACAGUGGACCGGCUUUAAUCAUACCCCUGCGGAUUGACCGGCUCUCCAUGAUUAAAGCGGACUCCUCACCAUCCUCAGGCUCUAAGCCCACACAACAUUGUAAACAGAGGCGCUGGAUUCAAACUGACGGCUAAAUGAAUGUUUGACAGCACAGAGACACACAGCUGACACACAUCCUGAAAAAAUAAACAAUAAACCAAUAUCAAGGUCAUUUAACCACAUGGUGACAGAAGAGCUGAACUGGAUUCAUCAGAGAAUCCACCUUCAAUGAGUAGAGAUGGAGUCUGAGGGAAAUGCCACAGAGAACAGCGAACACGGAGCCUCAGCUGGCCUAGAUUAUAUCUUGAAGCAGUUGGAUUUAAUGUCAGAAUUUAUGGACCAAUUGGAAGGUAAACUAUGGUCGAAGUUUUUUUUUUUUUCUUUUUGUUAACAUAAUUCAGUGACUGUUAGUGACAGUUGGACCUAAUAGUCCCAGCCUUACUUUCUUUAAUAUUUAACCUUAUGAAAUGUAAUAAUAAUGUACAAUUUGGAAAGUCAUCACCUCACACUCAUGUUUUGACAAUUCUGAAAUGUACUGGCAGUUUAAUAGUUCCUCUUUUUAGAGCUGGCAGAAAUUCUUCUGGUGGUUUUCAAAUGGGUAUUACAUGAACAAAUUUAAAAGAAAAUGUGCCAUCCUUGCCAGGGGUGGCAGUUAACGAGGAGUCAGAGCUAAGACAUUAAUCUGUGCCCGCCGUCAUUGCUAACACAAAUAUAUUAGCACACAGAACAUCCCCCAAAUCCUCCAAUCUGUCAAUAAUGCAUUUUAUUGUGUCAUAGAGACAUUAAGUUUGGCAAGAAAACAUGCUGGCUGCAUCUAUUGCUGAGCCCUGCAUAUCCAGUUAAGCAUGAGCAUCUUUGUAUAUUUCAACAGCUACUUGCAUCUGUGUUGUCGGCUCUUUGUGUGGAUUAUCAAGCCCUACAAUAGCCGUAUUUUAGAUUGAUUACUGUAAAAUGAUAAUGAACUAAUAGAUUUUUUUUUUUUUUUGAUGUACGUUAACAGUAACCUUUGCAUAAUACAUAACAGAAUGCUUCUAUUUAUAUACUUUGAUUACAGUAAACAUAACCUGUUUGUGCUGGUUAUGUUUCAGUCAGUCAAAAUGGAAUAAGAGGGUCUCUUCUUGUGUUCUUCCUGCUGUAUGUUCAACCAUUAUACCCUUUGUUUUCAGUGAAGACCCAGCUGCUGCGGUGUAACCUGACCGUGUGCUUCACACACCCUGAAAAAAUGGCGUGCCUCCAGACUGACGUGGAAACCCCAACGUGGUUAAACCGUGCACAGAUGAUGGAAGACUAAAUAUGUGACUCAAAGAAGUACACUUGUAAGGUGGAGUUAUAAUAUACUUAAAAAGCACAAUUUAAUAGGCAACAUUAAGACAAAACACUAAAACCAUUAGGAAUAUUUAAGUUAAAACAGACAAAUGUACAGUUUAAGAGUUAAGUAAAGUUGCCUCUAGCUAACAUUGAGUGUAAGAAUGCCUCUUGAUUUUAACAUUGAAAGUGUUUAAAAAUGUAUCUUUAAUAUAAAAAGUGUAGACAGUCCUGUCUGAUUGAAUCAAACUAAAUAUGAUUUAUUAAUUUA
This is a long non-coding RNA of Ctenopharyngodon idella (grass carp), 2189 nucleotides long. RefSeq lists it as uncharacterized. The record is from RefSeq and is a predicted model, not a curated record. The transcript has 7 exons. Lineage: Eukaryota; Metazoa; Chordata; Actinopteri; Cypriniformes; Xenocyprididae.